Molecule: ribosomal RNA, 808 nt
Filed under: uncultured bacterium
Lineage: Bacteria
Description: bacterial SSU rRNA
Rfam family: Bacterial small subunit ribosomal RNA
Source: RNAcentral
AGAGUUUGAUCCUGGCUCAGGAUGAACGCUGGCGGCGUGCUUAACACAUGCAAGUCGAACGAAGCAUUUUGACAUGAUUUCCUCGGAAGGAUUGUUACUAUGACUGAGUGGCGGACGGGUGAGUAACGCGUGGGUAACCUGCCUCAUACAGGGGGAUAACAGCUGGAAACGGCUGCUAAUACCGCAUAAGCGCACAGUACCGCAUGGUACGGUGUGAAAAACUCCGGUGGUAUGAGAUGGACCCGCGUCUGAUUAGCUAGUUGGCGGGGUAACGGCCCACCAUGGCGACGAUCAGUAGCCGACCUGAGAGGGUGACCGGCCACAUUGGGACUGAGACACGGCCCAAACUCCUACGGGAGGCAGCAGUGGGGAAUAUUGCACAAUGGGCGAAAGCCUGAUGCAGCGACGCCGCGUGAACGAAGAAGUAUUUCGGUAUGUAAAGUUCUAUCAGCAGGGAAGAUAAUGACGGUACCUGACUAAGAAGCACCGGCUAAAUACGUGCCAGCAGCCGCGGUAAUACGUAUGGUGCAAGCGUUAUCCGGAUUUACUGGGUGUAAAGGGAGCGCAGGCGGUACGGCAAGUCUGAUGUGAAAGCCCGGGGCUCAACCCCCGGUACUGCAUUGGAAACUGUCGGACUAGAGUGUCGGAGGGGUAAGCGGAAUUCCUAGUGUAGCGGUGAAAUGCGUAGAUAUUAGGAGGAACACCAGUGGCGAAGGCGGCUUACUGGACGAUAACUGACGCUGAGGCUCGAAAGCGUGGGGAGCAAACAGGAUUAGAUACCCUGGUAGUCCACGCCGUAAACGAUGAA